GUUUAAAUUUCAUUGAUUUCUAUUUACUUAUACUAAAGUUAUUGUGUGAAAACCAAGAAUAAUGCUUAUUUGGGCCCUUUUUUGGCCCUUAUUUCCUUAACUGUUGGAACUAAAACUCCCAAAAUCAAUCCCAACCUUCCUUUUGUGGUCAUAAACCUUGUGUCAAAAUUUCAUAGAUUUCUAUUCACUUAAACUAAAGUUAUAGUGCGAAAACCAAGAAAAUGCUUAUUUGGGCCCUUUUUGGCCCCUAAUUCCUAAAAUGUUGGGACCAAAACUCCCAAAAUCAAUCUUAACCUUCCUUUUGUGGUCAUAAACCUUGUGUUAAAAUUUCAUUGAUUUCUAUUUACUUUUACUAAAGUUAGAGUGCGAAAACUAAAAGUAUUCGGACGACGACGACGCCAACGUGAUAGCAAUAUACGACCAAAAAAUUAAAAUUUUUGCGGUCGUAUAAAAAGGAUUCAAU
Molecule: long non-coding RNA, 463 nt
Filed under: Mytilus galloprovincialis (Mediterranean mussel)
Lineage: Eukaryota; Metazoa; Mollusca; Bivalvia; Mytilida; Mytilidae
Source: RNAcentral